RNAcentral lists this ribosomal RNA (497 nucleotides) under uncultured bacterium. RNAcentral's name for it is "partial 16S ribosomal RNA". It matches the Rfam family "Bacterial small subunit ribosomal RNA", at positions 28 to 507 of the family's 1533-position model. The record is from RNAcentral.
GAUGAACGCUGGCGGCGUGCCUAAUACAUGCAAGUCGAGCGAACGGACGAGAAGCUUGCUUCUCUGAUGUUAGCGGCGGACGGGUGAGUAACACGUGGAUAACCUACCUAUAAGACUGGGAUAACUUCGGGAAACCGUAGCUAAUACCGGAUAAUAUUUUGAACCGCAUGGUUCAAAAGUGAAAGACGGUCUUGCUGUCACUUAUAGAUGGAUCCGCGCUGCAUUAGCUAGUUGGUAAGUUAACGGCUUACCAAGGCAACGAUGCAUAGCCGACCUGAGAGGGUGAUCGGCGACACUGGAACUGAGCCACGGUCCAGACUCCUACGGGAGGCAGCAGUAGGGAAUCUUCCGCAAUGGGCGAAAGCCUGACGGAGCAACGCCGAGUGAGUGAUGACGGUCUUCGGAUCGUAAAACUCUGUUAUUAGGGAAGAACAUAUGUGUAAGUAACUGCGCACAUCUUGACGGUACCUAAUCAGAAAGCCACGGCUAACUACGUG